CCUGGCUCAGGACGAACGCGGCGGCGUGCCUAAUACAUGCAAGUCGAGCGGAUUUAUCCUUCGGGAUAAGUUAGCGGCGGACGGGUGAGUAACACGUAGGUAACCUGCCUAUAAGAUCGGGAUAACUAUCGGAAACGAUAGCUAAGACCGGAUAACUGGUUUUCUCGCAUGAGAGAAUCAUGAAACACGGAGCAAUCUGUGGCUUAUAGAUGGGCCUGCGGCGCAUUAGCUAGUUGGUAAGGUAACGGCCCACCAAGGCGACGAUGCGUAGCCGACCUGAGAGGGUGAACGGCCACACUGGGACUGAGACACGGCCCAGACUCCUACGGGAGGCAGCAGUAGGGAAUCUUCCGCAAUGGACGCAAGUCUGACGGAGCAACGCCGCGUGAGUGAUGAAGGUUUUCGGAUCGUAAAGCUCUGUUGCCCUAGACGAACAGCAAGAGGAGUAACUGCCUUUUGUGUGACGGUAUAGGAGAAGAAAGCCCCGGCUAA
This 492-nucleotide ribosomal RNA is filed under the name Paenibacillaceae bacterium BF.57. Its description in RNAcentral is "bacterial SSU rRNA". It matches the Rfam family "Bacterial small subunit ribosomal RNA", at positions 18 to 500 of the family's 1533-position model. The record is from RNAcentral. Lineage: Bacteria; Bacillati; Bacillota; Bacilli; Caryophanales; Paenibacillaceae.